RNAcentral lists this ribosomal RNA (468 nucleotides) under uncultured bacterium. Its description in RNAcentral is "partial 16S ribosomal RNA". It matches the Rfam family "Bacterial small subunit ribosomal RNA", at positions 28 to 507 of the family's 1533-position model. The record is from RNAcentral.
GACGAACGCUGGCGGCGUGCUUAACACAUGCAAGUCGAACGGAAAGGCCCUGCUUUUGUGGGGUGCUCGAGUGGCGAACGGGUGAGUAACACGUGAGUAACCUGCCCUUGACUUUGGGAUAACUUCAGGAAACUGGGGCUAAUACCGGAUAGGAGCUCCUGCUGCAUGGUGGGGGUUGGAAAGUUUCGGCGUUUGGGGAUGGACUCGCGGCUUAUCAGCUUGUUGGUGGGGUAGUGGCUUACCAAGGCUUUGACGGGUAGCCGGCCUAAGAGGGUGACCGGCCACAUUGGGACUGAGAUACGGCCCAGACUCCUACGGGAGGCAGCAGUGGGGAAUAUUGCACAAUGGGCGGAAGCCUGAUGCAGCAACGCCGCGUGCGGGAUGACGGCCUUCGGGUUGUAAACCGCUUUCGCCUGUGACGAAGCGUGAGUGACGGUAAUGGGUAAAGAAGCACCGGCUAACUACGUG